This 497-nucleotide ribosomal RNA is filed under the name uncultured bacterium. RNAcentral describes it as "partial 16S ribosomal RNA". It matches the Rfam family "Bacterial small subunit ribosomal RNA", at positions 28 to 507 of the family's 1533-position model. The record is from RNAcentral.
GAUGAACGCUGGCGGCGUGCCUAAUACAUGCAAGUCGAGCGAACAGACGAGGAGCUUGCUCCUCUGACGUUAGCGGCGGACGGGUGAGUAACACGUGGAUAACCUACCUAUAAGACUGGGAUAACUUCGGGAGACCGGAGCUAAUACCGGAUAACAUGUUGAACCGCAUGGUUCAACAGUGAAAGACGGUCUUGCUGUCACUUAUAGAUGGAUCCGCGCCGCAUUAGCUAGUUGGUAAGGUAACGGCUUACCAAGGCAACGAUGCGUAGCCGACCUGAGAGGGUGAUCGGCCACACUGGAACUGAGACACGGUCCAGACUCCUACGGGAGGCAGCAGUAGGGAAUCUUCCGCAAUGGGCGAAAGCCUGACGGAGCAACGCCGCGUGAGUGAUGAAGGUCUUCGGAUCGUAAAACUCUGUUAUUAGGGAAGAACAAAUGUGUAAGUAACUAUGCACGUCUUGACGGUACCUAAUCAGAAAGCCACGGCUAACUACGUG